CUUUUCAUUCCCGUUGUUAUGGAGGGCCACAUCUGCCAGAGCCUGGAGUCUGCGAAGGCCGGGACCCGGUUCCCCGGCCCACAGUGGGGGUGUGCAAACCCGAGAGAACUGGUGCCGUCAGAAGCGAUAACUGACGACGUCUAAUGUCUAUCUGACCGCAGUCGCUGAAACCUCUACAACUUAGUUGACCGUAACUGCCAGAGCCCUGCCCUGAAUUCCUGUCCUUACUCCCUCUUUAAGAUUGCGUACCCACUGCAGAGUGCUGAAGACGGGGUAGCCACGAGGUUGCAAAUUCGUGAAGAAUCAGCAUCAUGUUUGGCAGCUGAGUAUUGGAGCCAGGAGCCUGCCAUGAGGUUUUGAGAACAGAGUGCUGUUUUAGAGCUGGCAGCAGCAUCUCAGCCCAAGAGAAGGUUAUAUUCCCAGAGGAUGUCAGUCCCAAGGACCAGUAGCUGCCAUCAGUUUGGAUUCUGAAAACUAACUGGCAUCAACACUGGGUGUAGAAACAUGCUUGCCUUAUGUAUCAGAGGACAUGCUCAGCAGAUCCAAGAGAUAUAUUUGGCAACUUUUUCUAGAAAAGGCACAUUGGGUAUCAUUCAUUACAUUCUUGAGUUUUUUUGGGUUUUUUUUUUUUUUUUUGAGACAGUCUUGCUGUAUUGCCCAGGCUGGAGUGUGGUGGCACAAUCACAGCUCAUUGCAUCCUCAAUCACCCAGGCCUAAGCAAUCCUCCCACCUUGUAGCUGGGACUACAGCUCACAGCACACCUGGCUAAAAUUUUUUUUUUGUUGAGACGGAUUCUCUAUGUUGCCCAGGCUGGUCUCAGGCUCCUGGGCUCAGAUGGUCCUCCUGCCUCAGCUUCCAAAGGCACAGGCCAAGUUGUAGCUUUGUCCCUUGCCAUCAUGCCCAACAAGAGGUUCUAUACCUUUUAAUGAAUUGACUUUCAUAAAUUGGUUAUGUUGGUGGGCAAAGUUCUUUAAGCUGGAAAUUGUAAAUUCCUCCUGAAAUGUUUUUUCAUGCAGUUACCAUGAACUAAUACUACAAUAAAGGAUGGUCUUGGGUGUCAA
Long non-coding RNA from Homo sapiens (human), 1061 nucleotides. Ensembl annotates it as small nucleolar RNA host gene 29. Its record names the gene SNHG29. The record is from Ensembl. NCBI's taxonomy places the organism in Eukaryota, Metazoa, Chordata, Mammalia, Primates, Hominidae.